Molecule: ribosomal RNA, 200 nt
Filed under: uncultured bacterium
Lineage: Bacteria
Description: partial 16S ribosomal RNA
Rfam family: Bacterial small subunit ribosomal RNA
Source: RNAcentral
AGAGUUUGAUCCUGGCUCAGAGCGAACGCUGGCGGCGUGCUUAACACAUGCAAGUCGAGCGGAAAGGCCCUUCGGGGUACUCGAGCGGCGAACGGGUGAGUAACACGUGAGCAACCUGCUCUAGCUCUGGGAUAGCUUCGGGAAACCGGAAUUAAUACCGGAUAUGACUACGGUCAGCAUCAACCGUGGUGGAAAGAUUU